Molecule: long non-coding RNA, 2311 nt
Organism: Triticum dicoccoides
Lineage: Eukaryota; Viridiplantae; Streptophyta; Magnoliopsida; Poales; Poaceae
Exons: 4
Source: RefSeq, a predicted model, not a curated record
CUAUGAAAAAAAGCCAGACGCUCGCUCCCUCGUGCCCUCGAUGCCCACUGUCGCUCUCCUCCGCCCCAACCCCAACCCCGCCGCCGCCUCAAUCCCACCGCCGCCGGCCUCCUCCUCCUCUAGCGCCGCCGCUCCAGCCCCUCACCUUCUCAGCCUGGAUCCGUGCGACAAGGUGUGGGGCUAUGGGAGAGAAGGCUCCAUAUCGCGCGACAAGGUGAGGGGGCACCCAGAUCCGCAGCGGCACCACCGCGCCCUCAUCCACCUGGCCCUCGAGGUCGGCCAUGGAGGUCUGGCCCGGCCAAUGGAUGGAUGGGGAUGAAACCCUAGCCCAACACCCACCCAUGGAUGGAUGGGGAUGGGGCGACGACGGCGACGGCGGCCUUCUCUCGGUGCUUGCUGAUGUGGUGGACAUCGACGUCGGUGACGGGUUGCAGCACGUAGACAUCAAAGGCUGCGGGUGUGACGGAGGAGCACCAUGGCGGGCCUGCAGACCAUGGCUCGCUAUGGAAGGCCCUUCCCUCCCCUCUCUCUAUUCGGGCCAUGCUCAGGCAGUCUUUUCUCUUCUCUUCCCGCAAAAAAGUCUUUUCUCUUCAUGAUCUGAACAUGUUGGAGGCCAUUAUUUCUCCUCUGCCAUACUUUGCUGCUGCUGCCAUGUUAACUGAGAGUUGGUAGCCAAUAUCAAGUGAUUCGGAAUUUUUGUUGAUCUGAACCAUAAUUUAAUGAUAUUGUUCCUUCUUUCUAAUGCGGUGUUAGUUGGCAUUAAGUUGUGAAAUCCAAAUCCAUACAUUUACAUUUCUUGUUGUUCUAAUUACACAAGUAUUUUCACAUUUUUUUGUUAACUAAUCUUCACACCGAACUCCAUCUCAGUAACCAGACCUGAUAUAGUAGUUAGUUUUGGCAUUAGACACAACAACUUUGACAUUGAUAAUUUCCUCAUAUAUUUAGUAGGACAAUAAACUUGUCUAGCAUUUCAUUAUGAGUUGCAGGCUCUGAAAAUAAAUGUAUGUGCCCCCUAAAUGAUUAAACGUAUGGUUUUUGAAUUAUGCAUGCUUUUUUUUUGAAUUAUGCAUGCUGACAUGCAUUGGCAAUCAUUAUUCAACAAUAUUCCUUUUCACUGAAAUAUAACCAUGUAAUGCUUAUGAUUUAAUCUGGUUAUCUAGACAACUAAAUGGGUUAAUGUUAUGCUUACUAUCUUUUGGCAUAUGUAAUGCGUGGAAGGAAACCAGUGUCUUUUGAUAGGGAUUUCUAGAGGUAACAUGCCUCUGACUGUAUGCACUAAAUUUAAGACGCUUUGUUUAGAAGAUGUUUUCUUCAGUAGUACUACAUAUUUUUAUGAUUUCCUGUAACUUGCUGAUAUGGCACCGAUUUGCCGCAUGGUGUGCUACAACUACACUCCAGGGGAAUAUUUGUUCAGAAUCUUCAGUCUUGUAAUUUUCUCCUUGAUGACCUGCUCGCCGCGACUGCCCAAACCCCAGGCCACACUUCCUCUUCCACUCCGCAUACUCCUGGUUGUAGCCCCAGCUCGCCACAGGCAGGGAUCGGCGGCUCGCUGGCGUGGCGCGUGGCAGGGAGAGAAGGGGGGCAAGAUCGGCGAGGCAGAGUUCUUCCGGAAGGACGGCGUGGUGGGCGACAUGGACGGAUACCUCAACUACCUGUCCCUCGAGUAUGACUUCGUCUCGGACACCAAUCCUACUUGGGUAUCUUCAAGGUCCAUGCUCCAAAUAUAAAUAAGAUUUGGUCCGCCGAGCCCUUCAUUGGCGUCCUCCUGGGACACCUCCAUGUAGCGCCAAGGUUGGAGGUGACACAUGAACGCUGGCAAUGCAAAAUAGCAGAUAUAAAAUAACUGCAGCUCAGGCCAUGUAGUUCUACAACAACCAAGGAAGAAGUCCGUUUUUAAGCCGACCUCGGCCAAGCAUUUAAGCUUAUAUGGGUGCUCUCUAUUUUUCAGAGUUGCGUGUACUGAGAACGCCCAUGAUUUAGGGCCAAAAAUCUAGACAAAGUGACAAAACUGAAAUACGAGACUUACUUGAAGCCAGUGAUAGCCCGUUGAAGGAUGCCGAUUGUGGCUAUCCAACUACAACAAUGUGCUUGCAACUCAUGAGUGGCAAAGUAUAACAUGCCUCCUUUAUUAAAGAAGCCCCUUCAAUAUAUGUAUGCAGAAUGCUGUGAAGGACUCGUGACAAAGCUAGAUCUGUAUGCAUGUCUUAAUGUAUUUUCAUACUAGCUUGAGUAAUGUACUCUUGCCCGCCGCACGGCACCACCUUUGUAGUGUAUUCUUGGUCGCUCGUUGCUCAAUUAGGUUAUUCUAUUU